This 765-nucleotide ribosomal RNA is filed under the name uncultured Streptococcus sp. Its description in RNAcentral is "bacterial SSU rRNA". It matches the Rfam family "Bacterial small subunit ribosomal RNA", at positions 28 to 776 of the family's 1533-position model. Lineage: Bacteria; Bacillati; Bacillota; Bacilli; Lactobacillales; Streptococcaceae. The record is from RNAcentral.
GACGAACGCUGGCGGCGUGCCUAAUACAUGCAAGUAGAACGCUGAAGAGAGGAGCUUGCUCUUCUUGGAUGAGUUGCGAACGGGUGAGUAACGCGUAGGUAACCUACCUGGUAGCGGGGGAUAACUAUUGGAAACGAUAGCUAAUACCGCAUAAGAGUAGAUAUCGCAUGAUAUGUGCUUAAAAGGUGCAAUUGCAUCACUACCAGAUGGACCUGCGUUGUAUUAGCUAGUUGGUGAGGUAACGGCUCACCAAGGCAACGAUACAUAGCCGACCUGAGAGGGUGAUCGGCCACACUGGGACUGAGACACGGCCCAGACUCCUACGGGAGGCAGCAGUAGGGAAUCUUCGGCAAUGGACGGAAGUCUGACCGAGCAACGCCGCGUGAGUGAAGAAGGUUUUCGGAUCGUAAAGCUCUGUUGUAAGAGAAGAACGAGUGUGAGAGUGGAAAGUUCACACUGUGACGGUAUCUUACCAGAAAGGGACGGCUAACUACGUGCCAGCAGCCGCGGUAAUACGUAGGUCCCGAGCGUUGUCCGGAUUUAUUGGGCGUAAAGCGAGCGCAGGCGGUUAGAUAAGUCUGAAGUUAAAGGCUGUGGCUUAACCAUAGUACGCUUUGGAAACUGUUUAACUUGAGUGCAAGAGGGGAGAGUGGAAUUCCAUGUGUAGCGGUGAAAUGCGUAGAUAUAUGGAGGAACACCGGUGGCGAAAGCGGCUCUCUGGCUUGUAACUGACGCUGAGGCUCGAAAGCGUGGGGAGCAAACAGG